Bacillus cereus ATCC 14579 is the source of this 2922-nucleotide ribosomal RNA. It matches the Rfam family "Bacterial large subunit ribosomal RNA". The record is from Rfam. NCBI's taxonomy places the organism in Bacteria, Bacillati, Bacillota, Bacilli, Caryophanales, Bacillaceae.
GGUUAAGUUAGAAAGGGCGCACGGUGGAUGCCUUGACACUAGGAGUCGAUGAAGGACGGGACUAACGCCGAUAUGCUUCGGGGAGCUGUAAGUAAGCUUUGAUCCGAAGAUUUCCGAAUGGGGAAACCCACCAUACGUAAUGGUAUGGUAUCCUUAUCUGAAUACAUAGGGUAAGGAAGACAGACCCAGGGAACUGAAACAUCUAAGUACCUGGAGGAAGAGAAAGCAAAUGCGAUUUCCUGAGUAGCGGCGAGCGAAACGGAACAUAGCCCAAACCAAGAGGCUUGCCUCUUGGGGUUGUAGGACAUUCUAUACGGAGUUACAAAGGAACGAGGUAGACGAAGCGACCUGGAAAGGUCCGUCGUAGAGGGUAACAACCCCGUAGUCGAAACUUCGUUCUCUCUUGAAUGUAUCCUGAGUACGGCGGAACACGUGAAAUUCCGUCGGAAUCUGGGAGGACCAUCUCCCAAGGCUAAAUACUCCCUAGUGAUCGAUAGUGAACCAGUACCGUGAGGGAAAGGUGAAAAGCACCCCGGAAGGGGAGUGAAAGAGAUCCUGAAACCGUGUGCCUACAAAUAGUCAGAGCCCGUUAACGGGUGAUGGCGUGCCUUUUGUAGAAUGAACCGGCGAGUUACGAUCCCGUGCGAGGUUAAGCUGAAGAGGCGGAGCCGCAGCGAAAGCGAGUCUGAAUAGGGCGUUUAGUACGUGGUCGUAGACCCGAAACCAGGUGAUCUACCCAUGUCCAGGGUGAAGUUCAGGUAACACUGAAUGGAGGCCCGAACCCACGCACGUUGAAAAGUGCGGGGAUGAGGUGUGGGUAGCGGAGAAAUUCCAAUCGAACCUGGAGAUAGCUGGUUCUCCCCGAAAUAGCUUUAGGGCUAGCCUUAAGUGUAAGAGUCUUGGAGGUAGAGCACUGAUUGGACUAGGGGUCCUCAUCGGAUUACCGAAUUCAGUCAAACUCCGAAUGCCAAUGACUUAUCCUUAGGAGUCAGACUGCGAGUGAUAAGAUCCGUAGUCAAAAGGGAAACAGCCCAGACCGCCAGCUAAGGUCCCAAAGUGUGUAUUAAGUGGAAAAGGAUGUGGAGUUGCUUAGACAACUAGGAUGUUGGCUUAGAAGCAGCCACCAUUUAAAGAGUGCGUAAUAGCUCACUAGUCGAGUGACUCUGCGCCGAAAAUGUACCGGGGCUAAAUACACCACCGAAGCUGCGGAUUGAUACCAAUGGUAUCAGUGGUAGGGGAGCGUUCUAAGGACAGUGAAGUCAGACCGGAAGGACUGGUGGAGUGCUUAGAAGUGAGAAUGCCGGUAUGAGUAGCGAAAGACGGGUGAGAAUCCCGUCCACCGAAUGCCUAAGGUUUCCUGAGGAAGGCUCGUCCGCUCAGGGUUAGUCAGGACCUAAGCCGAGGCCGACAGGCGUAGGCGAUGGACAACAGGUUGAUAUUCCUGUACCACCUCUUUAUCGUUUGAGCAAUGGAGGGACGCAGAAGGAUAGAAGAAGCGUGCGAUUGGUUGUGCACGUCCAAGCAGUUAGGCUGAUAAGUAGGCAAAUCCGCUUAUCGUAAAGGCUGAGCUGUGAUGGGGAAGCUCCUUAUGGAGCGAAGUCUUUGAUUCCCCGCUGCCAAGAAAAGCUUCUAGCGAGAUAAAAGGUGCCUGUACCGCAAACCGACACAGGUAGGCGAGGAGAGAAUCCUAAGGUGUGCGAGAGAACUCUGGUUAAGGAACUCGGCAAAAUGACCCCGUAACUUCGGGAGAAGGGGUGCUUUCUUAACGGAAAGCCGCAGUGAAUAGGCCCAAGCGACUGUUUAGCAAAAACACAGCUCUCUGCGAAGCCGUAAGGCGAAGUAUAGGGGGUGACACCUGCCCGGUGCUGGAAGGUUAAGGAGAGGGGUUAGCGUAAGCGAAGCUCUGAACUGAAGCCCCAGUAAACGGCGGCCGUAACUAUAACGGUCCUAAGGUAGCGAAAUUCCUUGUCGGGUAAGUUCCGACCCGCACGAAAGGUGUAACGAUUUGGGCACUGUCUCAACCAGAGACUCGGUGAAAUUAUAGUACCUGUGAAGAUGCAGGUUACCCGCGACAGGACGGAAAGACCCCGUGGAGCUUUACUGUAGCCUGAUAUUGAAUUUUGGUACAGUUUGUACAGGAUAGGCGGGAGCCAUUGAAACCGGAGCGCUAGCUUCGGUGGAGGCGCUGGUGGGAUACCGCCCUGACUGUAUUGAAAUUCUAACCUACGGGUCUUAUCGACCCGGGAGACAGUGUCAGGUGGGCAGUUUGACUGGGGCGGUCGCCUCCUAAAGUGUAACGGAGGCGCCCAAAGGUUCCCUCAGAAUGGUUGGAAAUCAUUCGUAGAGUGCAAAGGCAUAAGGGAGCUUGACUGCGAGACCUACAAGUCGAGCAGGGACGAAAGUCGGGCUUAGUGAUCCGGUGGUUCCGCAUGGAAGGGCCAUCGCUCAACGGAUAAAAGCUACCCCGGGGAUAACAGGCUUAUCUCCCCCAAGAGUCCACAUCGACGGGGAGGUUUGGCACCUCGAUGUCGGCUCAUCGCAUCCUGGGGCUGUAGUCGGUCCCAAGGGUUGGGCUGUUCGCCCAUUAAAGCGGUACGCGAGCUGGGUUCAGAACGUCGUGAGACAGUUCGGUCCCUAUCCGUCGUGGGCGUAGGAAAUUUGAGAGGAGCUGUCCUUAGUACGAGAGGACCGGGAUGGACGCACCGCUGGUGUACCAGUUGUUCUGCCAAGGGCAUAGCUGGGUAGCUAUGUGCGGAAGGGAUAAGUGCUGAAAGCAUCUAAGCAUGAAGCCCCCCUCAAGAUGAGAUUUCCCAUAGCGUAAGCUAGUAAGAUCCCUGAAAGAUGAUCAGGUUGAUAGGUUCGAGGUGGAAGCAUGGUGACAUGUGGAGCUGACGAAUACUAAUAGAUCGAGGACUUAACCAU